GGAUUUGGGAGGAGGGUUAGGAUUAGUGGAACUGCCGUAAUGUGAAUGGACGGGACGACUAGGAGCGAACCGUCGUAGUAUUAAAGGACGUGCGGGGACGAGUAGGAGCGAACUGCCAGCGUGCGAACGGCAGGGUAGUGACUUUCCAUUCUCCCAUGAUACGGGCUUCCGAGAGCCCUUGGAUCUGAGAUCGAAUGGUUGCAUGGCGUGAUUCUAGACCUAUGGGUGAAUAUCCUAUCCUGGAGGGUUAUUCUGCAAAUUUUCAGCAACUUAGCAUGCGAUCGUUUGAUCUCAGAUCCAAGGGCUGCCAGCAGCCCGUAUCAUGGUCGCUCCUACCACGACCGUCGCGUCGCUCGCGCGGUCGCGCCCUUGGAGAUUUAACACGGUGCGUUAGGCUAUCUGAUUUUGGCAUGUCAUACAUAGUCAUCACUUAGUCACUCAUACUACAACAAGGUUGGCUAUAAGUGUAUUUUUUUUACUCCUCUCUAUCUCUUUCUUCGUACUCCCUCCGUCCCAUAAUAUAAGAACGUUUUUGACACUAGUGUAGUGCCAAACACGUUCUUAUAUUAUGGGACACAGGGAGUACUAGUAUUUAUUGCAUUUGCCAAGGAGUGACCUCUUCCAAUGAAAUGAUGUUGCUAAGUUUGCUUCAUUUAAUUAGUUAUAGACUCAAAAUUGUCUUUUCAUCUAGGUAUGCGCGCUUAGCACCGUUUCUUCCUUGGGUCACCAAACUAGUCUCUCUCUUCUUGAUUAACUUGCCACAUCAGACUUUAUGCCUAUGUGGCAAGCUUAAGCACCUGUAGGAGCAAGUAAAAGUAAGUACAAUAGUGCGCUUUACAUGGCAUUUUUGCAUAUGUGGAGGAAAGAGAGGCAAGGAAAAAGUGGAGAAGUGGGCUCUCAUGCAAGAGCCAGCCUCUACUACAUGGUGGAGCAUUGGGAGAGGCACCUGUAUCGAGGUGGUCAGGAAUCGGGAGACUCACGCCGGUCGUAGCGCCGCAGUUAAAAUGAUAAUGGCAAGUCAAAUCACGGGGGCCCACCUGUCCAGCAGUAACUCGCUGUCAAAUCACACAUCCCUACGUUUGCAGCAGCCUACUCCCUCGUCUUCUCGCGUCUCUGUCGAACCGACUAGGCGGAACUGCCCCGCCUACCGCGCAGGAAAAGCCCCGCCCUCGACUUUUAAAUACAACUACAUCCGCUUAAGAAUCCAAUGAUAUACUUUUUGUGACAUAGUAACUCAUAUUUAGUUAGUCAAAUGGAUGACCUAGAACUACGUGCAGGCCCUAUAAACCGAGACGCCUAAAAAUAAAAAAACCGAGACGGAGAGGGUAGUUCAGCACGUAUCUUUUUAGAUCAAUAUAGUCGGGAUUCACCAAGGAGCAAAACCAAGUGGUAGGUUGCUCCUGUCGUGUUGGCGUAGCAACUCAAGCAGGGUCAGUCCGCACACGAAAUGGCGACACACUUAACAGGACCCCUUUGACCGACAUGUGGCUCAUCCACCAUCUUGUUCCACGUGCGAUGCACCAAAUUACAGUUCGGAGCAGCGGUUGGAAUUGGAGGCACCCCGGUCGUAGCGCCGCAGUAGUAGAAAUGAGCGAUGAGGGGUCAAAUCACAAAGCCCAACCUUUCCCGCAUUAAGCUGGACGGACGAAGCAACCAUCAUUUCACUCUAGGGCGCAAGAGCAUAAAGAAAAGAGAAAACAAUGAUGCGUGCGGCAGCUACCUAGGGCACCCGAGGGUAGGGGUCUCCACUACAGAUCCUUUUUUUUUAAAGCGCCUCCACUACAAAUCGGCUUCUCCCUCGUCCUCUUGAAGAAAACCGAUGAUGAGUGCGGCGGUAGGGUUUGCAGGAGUACUACGGCGUGCGGGGCCACGUCGUAGUAAACGGGUUCGAGUCAACGCCUUAAAUAUGUGUGGGCCGCUUGGUUUUACGGGAACGAGACAGCAUUUUGGGUUCGGGGACCAGUGGAGAUAUAGUACGUACAAAAAAUUGUGGACAUAGGUUCGACCGAAAGGCAAUGAUGCAUGGGCCCUGCAUUUUGAUAUACCCGGGGCCGCGUGAAAUUUGCUACUCUACUCAAAACUAGUAAGGUACACAUGUAUUGAACGCAUGAGAUUUCGAAACCAAAUUAUGAAUAAAUACACACUAUAGCAUGUAAAGCUUUGAGUCAUAUAUGCAUGAUGUAGAUGUUCGUUUAGUUCUUAUAGUUCAUGUCAUUCAAAAUCAAUUAGUUUUAUAAAAAUGUUAAGAUUCAUGGGGUUGUGCAUUGUAAAUCAUAAAAUAAAAAACAAAUAAUGGCAAUUCAUUUAGAAAAAAUAAUCAAUUAUGAUACAGAAGAUUCUAGAACAAAGGAGAAGUGCUUGUGUUUUGAGGUUUGUGCAUUAUGCUUAAGUUCAACCAUGGAGUCUUCUAAAUUGUACAUGUGGCAGAUCUGGUGGAAUGUUGAUGAUAUCCAAUGGCCAGUAGUGCUCGGAUUUGCCUAUCUCUGCACUGUCGGGUUAGCAUCAUCCAGCAACCAUCUUUCAAAGUUAUUGGCACACUAUAUAGUUCUUGUGCCAUAGUUGCAUGUUUUGGAAAAAAGCUACUAGUGGGUUGUACUAUCUAUUUAGGAAUAGAAGAUGUAUACAUGGAAGUUGUAGGGAAAGAGAUGACAUGGAGCAUCUCAAUUCCUAUGAGUAGGGAUUGGAAAAGAGAUGUCAUUUGGUUCACAUCAUAGGAACUUUUCUAUUGAAUCUAGAGAUGACAUGUAUCUCAAUUCCUAUGAGGAGGGAUUAGAAAAGAGAUGUAAUUUGGUUCAUAUCAUAGGAACUUUUCUAUUGAAUAUACGCUAAUGUUUAUUUUCCUUUGAAAUUAAGGGAGUAUAGGAAUCCAUUCAUAUGAACCAAGUGGCUCUAAAGCUAUAGAAAUGAUAUCAUGUUUAUUUCCUUUGAAAUGUGGAGUAUAUGAAUCUAUUCCUAUUAACCAAUUGGCUCUAAAGGAAAAAAUCCUAUAAAAAUCAUAUCAUAUAGAGUUCCUAUGAUAUUCCUCGACACUAAAGGAUGCUUGAAAUUGCUGCGGGUGAUACGAUGGUCUUUCUUUGUAGAAUCCUCACCCAUCUUUAUAGUUACCUCUCGAAGAUGAAUGAAAUGAUAUAUACAUGGUAUUCUACAUGUGCAAUUUGGUACACGAAAACUCGGUAAAAGUUUGCGAGGUUCGAAUUUUCAAUAAAGCUAUAUGCACUGCAUUUCGGAACGGACGGAGCAUACGGCAGUUGCUAACACUCACGUGGGAGAUUUGUGUGUAGGAGGAGUGGCUGUCCUGUUAAAUGACAUGGCAAAACUGACACUGUCGGAUGCCGAUCUAACGGUUCUUACGGCGUUCGUCAGGAAAAGGCUUGUGGCGAGCGUUUGUCGGAUAAUGAUUUACGGACACAUGCAUUGCAUUGAUACGUGCCCCCCUCUCUCUCACGCACACGCACCCUCACGAGUCACGACUCUCCCAAGUCCUCUCGCAGACUCGCACGUCGCACCCACCGUCUAUCUGCAGGUAGACGUCACGCACAUAUGUUCUCUUCACACCCUACCCUCAGAACUUCUAAAAAACAAAAGACGGCGCGCACAUUUUAUUUUAGCUCACACGUCACACACUUAUACUAUUACUCUUGCGGCGAACGUUCUUUGGGCAUAGUAUAUUGUACUCUCACGAAGAGAAGCGGUGCACGCACGCACUAGUUCUCUCACACCCACUCGCGGGUACACGUAGGAGCGCAUUUUUUUGAAGCUGGUACAACAAAAUCACUCCACUAUAUAUAAAAGCAGGAGCCUUAGCGCUUGCUUUACUAGGGUUCCUCUCGUUCACUCUCUCAUGCUCUCCAGAUCUAAGCAACACAUAGGUGGCCACACUCUCUCUUAGCUCACGGCUGGUCACAAAUCCGGCCGGACAACCUCGAUCGGGGCAGGGGUGUAGGUGCAUCGUUCAUGCUGUCAUCGGCGGCGAGGGAGGAGACCAACGGCUGCCCGCGCGUCCCGAUCGGCGGUCGUGCCGUUCUCUCCGAGAGAGCGCCGGCUCAGGAGGGCCUCCGACCCCUUCUUCCUCCCUGCGGUAUUGUGGCCAAGAUGCGGCCUCCCGACGCCGUCUUUGCCACAUGCCGACGACCCUCAGGUAUAUAUUCCUUCGAAACCUGCCUUGCUCUACUGCCCCAGCUCCCUUCGUGUGGAUCCUUUUCUACUUCCGUCCGCUGUUCCAAAGCCACCUAGACUUCUACUAUUAUUAGAAGUAAAGCUAGUUCAUACAGUCAACUCAAAGCGUUGGUUCAAACAGGGAAGAAAGUGGGAAAGUUGUAGCAUGAAUCUAGGACUUGGUUCUAAGAGGAAGGGGGAAAGUAGUAAUAUCUGUCACUGUUUAAAUAACCGUAUUUCGUAUUUGCGCAAACAGGGAUGUCUUUCUCCAUAUCGUUUCGGGAUGUCUGUCUCUGUAUCGUUUCUAUCCGCGCAAUCAAAAGCACACACCUCAGUUUUAGUACAACUGCGCAAAAUGAGAUGGCUAUCCCUCGUUGCCGUCGUCUAACCUCCCGUCUUCAAGGUAUCCCUACAUUGGUAGUAACUAAGGUAGAAUGACCAACGUAAUCUAAAAGAAGCUGAUUCGUACGUUUUACUUCCUGAUUGCAGUGCAGGGACGAGCGAAAACAACUGCAUCCUAGUCCGGAAUGCACUUUCUACCAGUUCAUCCAUGGACCGAGGACUAGCUGGCACGGCUGCACGGCAGUUUUUUGGACAGGUGCGCGGACAAGAGGCAUUGUGCUCUGCUUAUUUCUGCAAAUAGCGGUGCUUAAAUUUAGUGGAAUGCACAAGCAUUUCAGCUGGUCAGUACACUGCAUGGUUCAGUUCAGCAUUCCAGCUGAGACCACAAUUAUAAUUGGUUAUUCUGGAAUGAGAGAACCUAACCCUGGAUGGUGGCAACAAGAAAAAACCAGAGUGAACUCCAGGAAAUUUAAGCCUGCCGGGAGGCCCUUUGCUCAGAGAAGCCUUGCUUGUUUUUUCCUGAUUUGUAAACCUUCUCACAACUUUGUCUUUUGUUGUGAACUAGUAUAUGUUUGUUAUGUUCUAUGAAUCAUUGAGAUGUAUAAAAUUGCUUAACUUAUGCUUUUCAAGUUUUUUAUGAAGACGAGUUUAAUGUGAGUUGUUCCACAUGAGCGCUGGACUAGCGUGUGAACGUUUGGAAUUUAUUACAUUGUGGCCUCAAUUAACUGCAUGAACCACUGUAACAAGAUACAUAGUUGCUUAUAUGUCAGACAGCAGAUUGUUGAUUGUUAGCUGGUCGAUAGCCUAGUGUUGACGCGAGCUGAGCCAAUGUGCCGUGUUUUGCACAACUGCUUACAAGUGGGGUAGCACCAACAGUGUUUACAAGUACUUAUGUAUACGUCGGCGCACGGUUCUCGAACGAGUGCUCUAUUUCAUCAAAACACACACUGCUCGUAUGAUAAACCGUGACAACUUAUGUCUUACCAUGCCAUAUUCAUGAAAAAACUAGUGAGGACGCAUCUGUUUCGGCAACAAUUACGAUGGUUCUCACAUGAUUCACGGGCACACAAAAGUAGCAGCAGUUCCCAUAGACGGAUUCAAACAGAGUACUAGCCCCAGAGGGGUCGAUAACAGGCAAGGUUCGGAUAAUUAGACACAAUCCAAACUACUAUUAAACACUAGCUGGGGCAACUAUUUCAUGCCUCGAUCUAAUUUGGGCUGGACACAAGACGGACCUUGCCAUGAACAUCAUCGAGGACGUCCCGCAGCAGCUCAAUCCUGUGAACCUUCAUGAAGACAACCUUGUGGCCUUGCCACUGAUAAACUUGUUUGUGGAGGCAUGCCACGUCAUCUUCCUGCGUAAGCUUGACAAGAACAGUAUGCCUCACAAACGAAGGAGUAGCUUUGAACUUCUUGUGCUUCAGUACACCCUGGACAACACGCCUGACAAUAGUGAGGCUGGAAUACAACUCUUCAUUGGUAUAACCGCAAAUGGCUUCCAGGAUCCAACAGCCUAAGAACUAUGUUUUCCUAGUGCGUAUAUUCAGGUCGUCCGCCUCAUAGCGAGUGACAUGUACAACCACACAAUCCUUGUCUGCAUCAGGGCUCUAAUUGAAACAGAAACAAAUUCUGAAUUACUUUUCAGUAUAAGAAACAUAAGUUAUUUAAACCACUAUGUAUAGCAUGGCAUCGAAGCUAAUAAAAUUUUGCAUUAUUAAUCACCACAUACUUCCUUUUCUAUAAAAAAUCACCACAUACUUCCUUUUCUAAAAAAAUCACCAUAAUCGAGAUCGGCAAAGAAGGAAAUCACCUUGGGCAGCUCACCGGGGGGACACAUCCUCGAAGGGGGAAAACUGCUCCUGCAGUGCCACGGGAGUUGUAACCUCAAACAGGGCGUUGACCAUCUCAGUAGUGGCCGUGAGCGUAUCUGGUGUCGGCUCGGUGGUUGCCUCCAUCUUCUUGGAGCUCUCUGUCUCGUGGGGAUCAGCCUCCCGCGUCUGCUCCAAUAUCGGCAGAUCUUUGUCUGGUUCUCCUUGGUCCAUCAUGAAACUGACGAAUACUAGGAGACCACUGAAAGGAAAACACAAUCGCAAUGACAAUGAAACAAAAAAGAGAGUGAGGAUCGGUUACUGCUUUGCAAAAGUUCUUUUUUUUCUGAACGAAAAUAUACCAACAUCACAGAUCCGCUUACCUUCCCUUCGUUCGGAGAGAAGAACAGUGGCAGAUGCGAGUGUUGCCUUUCUUGAAGACGGUGAGGGAGAAGGGGAUUCAGCAAAGAGUGAAAUGAUGGUUGCUUCGUCCGUCAAACUUAGACUGCGGGGAGGUGGGGUUUUGUGAUACGACGGCUCGUUACUGCCGUGCUACGACCGGGGUGACUCUCCGCCUGCAUACUGCCUUCUAAUUUGGUGGAUGGCAUUUGGGCCCGCGCGCUGCAUUGCCCGCAUGUCGGUGAAUAAAAGUAUAACGGCAUUCAGUAGAGGGAGACGUUUCAAUGACCUAGGAGGAGCCAGAAGCGAUAGAGUGUCUCCACUGUACUAGUAGUAAUUGUUUUUCUGGGUACCUGUAGAGUGUCUCCACUGUACUAGUAGUAAUUGUUUCUCUGGGCCCAAGACAAAACAGCCCAUCCACACUAGUAAAUAGUAUAAUCAAUUCAAAAGCCCAUAUAUUUACUGAAUGAGAGGCGCUACCCNNNNNNNNNNNNNNNNNNNNNNNNNNNNNNNNNNNNNNNNNNNNNNNNNNNNNNNNNNNNNNNNNNNNNNNNNNNNNNNNNNNNNNNNNNNNNNNNNNNNNNNNNNNNNNNNNNNNNNNNNNNNNNNNNNNNNNNNNNNNNNNNNNNNNNNNNNNNNNUUCCUCCUCGCUCCCACCCACCUCACGUCAGCUCGCUCCACUCAUACCCCCAAAUUCCUCACCUCACUCCUACAGAAAACCCCAGUUCCCCUUCUUCCUCACUCCUACAGAAAACCCCCAGCUCCCCUUCUUCUUCGCUCGCACUACAACUAGGCUCGUCUUUCGUUACUCUGCUCAAAUCCGUGAGCGCGACGCGACGCCCUCGAGGAAAAUGGAGUCGGCUGACCCCAGCGUCAAGAAGAUGAGGCUCCCGCCAGCGGCGACGCCUGUUGUAGAUCCCGCACCCGGCAGCGCGGGGAGAAGUGGCGACCCCGCCCCCACCGGAUCCCAGGAACCCGUAGAAUCUUGGGUGGACCGCAUCAGCGAUCUCCCGGACGCCGUCCUUGGGGAGAUCAUCUCGCUUCUCCCCACCAAGGAUUGCUGCCGCACCCAAGUACUCUCAAUUCGGUGGCGCCCUCUAUGGCGCGCCGUGCCCCUUAAUCUCGACUGUCGUCAGCUAUCUCUCUUCAAUGAUUUUGAAAUCCCCAGAGCCAUCAUCUCCUCCCACCAGGGCUCCGUUCAAAGCCUCUACAUCCCGUCAUGCUACCUGAGCAAGCAUACCAUGCCCUACAUGGUGGACACCUGGCUGAAAUCCCCUGAAUUCAUAGAACUACCGCUGCUUGAGUUCUACUAUUCCCCUGGAAAUCACAUACCACAUACUGAACUCCAUGAACUUGUGCCCUCAGCACCGAUGUCCAUCUCGCGGUUUUCGUCCUCUCUCCACACCGCCACCUUUGCGCUGUGCUACCUACCAGACAAUCUGGUACUAAACCUUCGACUCCCAUUUCUCAAGAAACUUUCACUUGUGCGGGUUCGUAUAUCAGAGGCCUCAUUGCACAGCAUCAUCCACUCCAGUUGCCCUGCGCUGGAGUGCUUGGUGCUUGUUUUCACAGUUAGAAUCGGUUGUCUCCAAAUAAAGUCGCCUAACCUUGUAAGAAUUGGAAUUUCUUUUGACGGAAGGCAGCUCAUCAUCCAAAUAACCGUCCUCUCUGCGCCUAAACUGGAGACCUUGGGUGUAAUACAUGAUCUCUGUGCUCAUUUCAAUAUGGUGUUUGGCUCCACAGUUCUUCAGGUACUUUAUAUUAUCAUAUACACUUGUAACCAUAAGCUGCAUUUUAAAUUUUUGCGCAUAAUUUAUAUAUCAUCUUGGAGUACACAUUUUGUACUAAUAUUAUGUUCUAUGCUCAAUGAAGAGUUUCUCCAUGGAUGGCCUAUCAAUGGUGCUGGAUUCUGUCAAGAUCUUAUAUAUCCAAAUGAACAGUUUUGAUCUGAACAAGAUUAUUGGCUUGCUGCAAUGCUUUCCAUGUCUGGAGAAGUUGUAUAUAAAGGUGAUAAUUUCACGCACAUUGGAAGCCCGCAUAUAGUGUACUAGAAUUAACCGUUCAGCUGUUGCUCUUUCGACACUCUUCUUUUAGACCUUAACUAUUUUCAAUCUUCAUGUCUAUUUAGGCAACAGGACGGGGUAAGAAAUUUAUAACCAAUCGGUGGAUUCGUAAGCAUCGGGAUUUUCUCACUUCUCAUGAGAUUCGAUUGAAGACAAUAACGCUAGAACGAUAUGUAGCCAACCGUGCAAACACAAGAUUUGUCACAUUCUUCCUGCUGAAUGCGAGGUUACUAUUGUCCAUCAGCCUUAAGUUUAUCAGCAGCAUGGUUUUGACAGAUGGGUAUGUCGAAGAGCAAAAAAAGGAGUUUCAGGUGGGCAAAAGAGCUUCUAAAUGUGUCGGGCUUCUAUUUACAACAUAUUGUGGUCAUAAUCCAGUAAAUAUUACGACCCAGGAUGUUCAUUCUAUGGACAUGACUGAUCCAUUUGACUAUGACUGCCGAAAACAGUGCUGGAGUUAGAUGUUGUUGCCCUUUUCAAUCUGGUUUUUUUGUAAACCUGAUGAACAAUUAACCCUCGUGCUUUUGUACAGUUUGUAAGCUGGAGUUAGAUGUUCCUGCCCUUUUCAACUCGGCUGUGACUGUCAUAUUUUCUUUGAAACAAGGCAAAUGGCUUGCCAUUCAUUUAAUUUAGAGUGAAAUAUUGUAACAAAUCCCAACCAAGGGAAAUAACAUCACUCUCGCCGGCUGCUUGAGCUCACUGUGCAUUACAGAAGCCAAGUGAUUAGCCCCCACCAGCACCCACAAACUUAUUUUGAGCUAGCACAUCAAAUGGGCUAUAAAUUUUCAUAGGAAAGGCUGCAUGACCGUGACAGAUUUGGAUUCUGACAUUUGGGACCCGCGAGGAAAUAGCCUAUCCAAGGUGGUGUCGACUUACUAGCCAGUCAACAAACAAUUCUGCCUACCAGCCGUUGGAUUGACAUCCAACAUCUGUCGUGUAUCUUCUAUAUCUCUUGUCUUCUUCUCCCUCCAGCCGCCCAAACCAAACCACCCCGUCGGCUCCGCCUGCUCCCGCCUCCCAUGGCUGGCUGCGCCUCCACCACCCUACCGUACGUACCUUCCAACGUUGGCCAAUCCCUCCCUCUAUUCCCCCACACGUCCUGUUAUUCUCCGGCGACGUCAGCCCCAACACGCACCCGCGCCCGAACCAGUCAACCCUCGUACUCCCCUCCGCCUGCGACUAGACCGGCGCAUCUUCAACGGCUCCUGUUCGUUCCAUCCGAGGCCUCGCCGUCGUCCUCCGCCUUGCAGCCUUGGUUCGCUCGCCGUGCGCGGUGCGCCGCCCUCUUGCGUUGUCAACGUCGUCAACAACCGAGAGGAACAAGGAGAUGACUGUACGUGGAGAGGAUGACAGUAGGGACCCACCAGCGUCAUGGCAGUACGCAAGCAAGUGCCUCUAUAGUACAAGCCCAAAAAUAUGGUUCCUCCUAAUGGUUGGACAUCUGGGGCUCACGCCAUUNNNNNNNNNNNNNNNNNNNNNNNNNNNNNNNNNNNNNNNNNNNNNNNNNNNNNNNNNNNNNNNNNNNNNNNNNNNNNNNNNNNNNNNNNNNNNNNNNNNNNNNNNNNNNNNNNNNNNNNNNNNNNNNNNNNNNNNNNNNNNNNNNNNNNNNNNNNNNNNNNNNNNNNNNNNNNNNNNNNNNNNNNNNNNNNNNNNNNNNNNNNNNNNNNNNNNNNNNNNNNNNNNNNNNNNNNNNNNNNNNNNNNNNNNNNNNNNNNNNNNNNNNNNNNNNNNNNNNNNNNNNNNNNNNNNNNNNNNNNNNNNNNNNNNNNNNNNNNNNNNNNNNNNNNNNNNNNNNNNNNNNNNNNNNNNNNNNNNNNNNNNNNNNNNNNNNNNNNNNNNNNNNNNNNNNUGACUGUACGUGGAGAGGAUGACAGUAGGGACCCACCAGCGUCAUGGCAGUACGCAAGCAAGUGCCUCUAUAGUACAAGCCCAAAAAUAUGGUUCCUCCUAAUGGUUGGACAUCUGGGGCUCACGCUAGUGUCAACGUAGUCAAUAAACGAGAGAAUUACACUACGAGCGGCUCACACCAGGGACCCAGCAAGUCGCGCAGUUUUUUUUUUUUUUUGAGGAACAAGCAGUUGUUAUUUAUACUAGUUUUAGCGACGGAUCAGGGUAACAACGGGGUUGUGCGGGGGCUGUGGCCCGUCUAGCCAGGGUUUUAUUUAUGUUUACCACAUCAUGAGCCCAGUUGUGUUUUUUUCUUGCUGAAAAUGGCUAGCCCAGUUCUAUUUUUUUUUUAAGAAAUACCCAAACAAGGCCUACUUGCUUUAUCGGCCCUGCUGGGCUGCAAAUCUUUCAAGACGAGGAGAGUUUCAUUCGGUUUGCCCAGAAAUUCGCUGUACAUUUUUAAAACACAUCAAACCGGGAAUUAGUUUCAAUUUUUUUUUCAUUACAAGAUCUUAAAUUCCAUUGAUUUUUAUGCGUGGACAAUUAUUUGGAUUUUAUAUUUAUAUAAAUUAUUUUCAAAAUAGUUUGAAUGUGAAACGAUAUUUCUGGAUUAAAAACAGUUGACCGCACCGAAAUAUGCAAAAUUUCGUAUACUUUUUAACCGUGGCCACAAUAUGGGGUGUAAUGCUAACAAAAAGAAGAUGGGCUCCAAAAAAAUUCUUAAGAAUUAGCAAAUGGGUUGUACAUUAUUAGAAAUAAUGGCAGAUGGGUUGUAUGCUGUUUUCCACAGAUUUGAGGCUGACUUGUGCGCCUACUACAGGUUGACGCGUAUGCUUUCAUAAAAAAAAGGUUGACGCACACGCAACGCCCUGACAGCUUAGUCAACACACGAGAGCAGUGACUGUUGGAUGUCCAUCCAACGGCUGUCGUGCUUCUUCAAUCUCUGCUCUUCAUGCUCCAGCCGCUCAAACAAGCGCCGACGGGACUGCCUGCUCCCUCCUCCCGCGGCCGGCUAUGCUGCCGCGCAGGCCUCACGGCCCCACCGUACUCCCAUCGCUGGCCUAGCCAUCCCUCUACUCACCCACACAUGAUGUUAUUCUCCAGCGACGGCAAACGAACCAGUAAACCCUCGUACUCCUCCGCAUGGGAAACAACUGCCGAGUAUUCCCUGGCUCUAUGUCGUUCCCUUCCUAGGCCUCGCCGUCGUCCACCGCCCUGGUGCUCUCGGCGCGGACUGUUCAACGUGGUCAAUGAACGACAUCCAUCGGAAGUGGACUGUACGUGGAGAGGCUGACAGCUGGGUCCAUGGCCGCACGCAAGGAAAUGCCUCCUUAUUACGCGUAAAAUAAUGAUUCCUCCACCUGACAGCUAGGACCCACGGGAAGGGCCUCUGUAUUUCGCGAAAAAAACGUUCCCCCCGCUGACAGGUCGGACCCACCAGCUAUAUCUUCGCACGCAAGGAAGUGCCUCCUUAUUACGCCCAAAAAAAUGAAUACCCCCCUGCUAGCUGGGACCCACCAUAUUGUUGGGCUAACUUGUGGGCCUACUAAGUUGACGGGGGCGGAGGGCUUUGUCAACUUAGUCAAUACUCCAGUGAUCGUAUGAUGUCCAUCCAACGGCCAUAGUGCUUCUUCAACCUCUGGUCUUCUUGCUCCAGCCGCCCAAAGCAGCGCCGGUCGUGCCGCCUACUCCUGCCUCCCGUGGCCGGCUCUGCUACCGCGGAGGCCUCACCACCCCCAUACUAAUCCCACCACUGGCCAGGCCAUCCCUCCACUCACCCACACCCCCUGUUAUUCUGCGGCGACGGCAGCCUCACACCGCAGCCGAACCAGUGAACGCUCGUACUCCUCUCCGCGUGGGCAUCCACUGCCGCGUCUUGCUCGGCUCCGCGUUGUCCCCUUCCUAGGCCUCGCCGUCGUCCCCUUCCUAGGCCUCGCCGUCGUCCACCGCCGUGGUGCUCUCGGCGCGGCGUGGUCAAUGUGGUCAAUGACCGACUUCCAUCGGAAGAGUACUGUACGUGGAGAGGCCGACAGCUGGGUCCACGGCAACCGCAAGGAAGUGCCUCCUUAUUACGCGGAAAAUAAUUAUUCCUCCACCUGACAGCGGGGACCCACCGGAUGGGCCACCAGUAUUUUGUGAAAAAAAUCGUUUCCCCCUGACUGCUGGGACCCACCGGACAGGCCACCGUAUUUCGCAAAAAAAACGUUCCCCCCGCUGUCAGCUCGGACCCACUGGAAGUGCCUCCUUAUUACGCACAAAAAAACGAAUAGUCCCCCAGCUAGCUGGGACCCACCUUGGUGGGAGCCUGGCUUGUGGGCCGACUAAGUUGACGGGGACGAAGGGCUUUGUCAACUUAGUCAAUAUGAACGAUUCUAGCUCCAGUGACCGUACGAUGUCCAUCCAAUGGCCGUAGUGCUUCUUCAUCCUCUGGUCUUCUUGCUCCAGCCGCCCAAAGUAGCACCGGUCGUGCCGCAUGCUCCUGCCUCCCGUGGCCGGCUAUGCUGCCGCAGAGGCCUCACUGCCCCCUACUAUUCCCACCGCUGGCCAGGACCUGCGGUGACGGCAGCCUCACACCGCAGCCGAACCAGUGAACCCUCGUACUCCUCUCCGCGCGGGCUUCCACUGCCACGUCUUCCCCGGCUCCGCGUCGUCCCCUUCCUAGGCCUCGCCGUCGUCCACCACCGUGGUGCUCUCCGCGCGGCGUGGUCAACGUGGUCAAGGAACGACUUUCAUCGGAAGAGUACUAUACGUGGAGAGGCUGACAGCUGGGUCCACGGCCACAGCCCAGUUUUUUUGUGAUUUGCCAAGUAAGUCGCUUUGUCAGGCCUGUUGGGCUGCAAAUCUUUCAAGACGAGGAGAGCUUUCAUUCGGCUGGCCGAGAAAAUGGCCCAUCAGUAAUAAGAAAUGGGCUGUACAUUUUUAAAACACAUCAAACCGGCAAUUAGUUUCAAAUAUCUUUUUUUCAUUUCAAGAUUUUAAAUUACAUUAAUUUUUAUGCGUGGAGAAUUUGUUGGAUUUUAUAUUGAUAUACAUUUAUUUUUAAAAUCAGUUUGAAUGUGAGUCGAAAUUUCGGGAUUAAAAACAGUUCGGACCGCACCAAAAUAUGCAAAAUUUUGUAUAAUUUUUUAACCGUGGCCACAAUAUGGGCUGUAAUGCUAACAAAAAGAAUAUGGGCUCCAAAAAAACCUUAAGAAUUAGCAAAUGGGCUGUAAAUUAUUAGAAAUAAUGGCAGAUGGGCUGUAUGCUGUUUUCCACAGAUUUGAGGCUUUCCAAAAAAAAGGUUGACGCACAAGCACUGACUGUUGGAUGUCCAUCCAACGGCCGUUGUGCUUCUUCAAUCUCUGCUCUUCCUGCUCCAGCCGCUCAAACAAGCGCCGGCGGGACUGCCUGCUCCCUCCUCCCCGCGGCCGGCUGUGCUGCCGCGCAGGCCUCACCACCCCACCGUACUCCCAUCGCUGGCCUAGUCAUCCCUCUACUCACCCACACCUGCUGUUAUUCUCCGGCGACGGCAGACGAACCAGUAAACCCUCCUACAGUCGUACUCCCCUCCGCGUGGGAAACAACUGCCGAGUCUUCCCUGCCUCUGUGUCGUCCCCUUCCUAGGCCUCGCCGUCGUCCACCGCCGUGGUGCUCUCGGCGUGGCGUGGUCAAUGUGGUCAACGACCGACUUCCAUCGGAAGAGUACUAUGCGUGGAGGCGCUGACAGCUGGGUCCACGGCCGCAGCAAGGAAGUGCCUCCUUAUUACGCGCAAAAUAAUUAUUCCUCCACCUGACAGCGGGGACCCACCGGACAGGCCAUCGUAUUUUGCAAAAAAAACGUUUCCCCCCUGACUGCUGGGACCCACCAGCUACACCUUCGCACGCAAGGAAGUGCGUCCGGGCAAAAAAACAAAACGAUUCGCCCCCCUGACUGCUGGGACCCACCAGCUACAUCUUCGCACGCAAGGAAGUGCCUGACAGUCGAGACACACCUGGUCGAAGCGUACGUAGCGUUGUCAUUCUGGUCGCGAACGUGUACGUACAUAUAUACUGGUGGAUGAAGAGGCGCACGCGUGUCGAAGUAGAGGCACGCACGUAGCAUGUACACGUACAUACAGCGGCCAGGGUGAGUGGGUGCUCCGUAGCAUUUCUGAUAUUAUAUGUGGAUGACAUAUUACUGACUAGAAAUGAUAUAGAAUUUCUGGACAGCAUAAAAGGAGAUUUGAAUAAAAGUUUUUCAAUGAAAGACCGCAGUGAAGAUGCUUACAUAUUAGGCAUUAAGAUCUAUAGAGAUAGAUCAAGACGCUUGAUAGGACUUUCACAAAGCACAUACCUUGACAAAGUUUUGAAAAAGUUCAAAAUGGAUCAAGCAAAGAAAGGGUUCUUGCCUAUGUUACAAGGUGUGAAGUUGAGUCAGACUCAAUGCCCGACCACUGCAGAAGAUAGAGAGAAAAUGAAACAUGUUCCCUAUGCUUCAGCCAUAGGCUCUAUCAUGUAUGCAAUGUUGUGUACCAGACCUAAUGUGUGUCUUGCUAUUAGCCUAGGAGGGAGGUACCAAAGUAAUCCAGGAGUGGAUCACUGGAUAGCGGUCAAGAACAUCUUGAAAUACCUGAAAGGACUAAGGAUAUGUUUCUCGUUUAUGGAGGUGACGAAGAGCUAGUCGUAAAUGGUUACGUCGAUGCAAGCUUUGACACUGAUCCAGACGAUUCUAAAUCGCAAACCGGAUACAUGUUUACAUUGAACGGUGGAGCUGUCAGUUGGUGCAGUUGUAAACAAAGCGUUGUGGCGGGAUCUACGUGUGAAGCGGGGUACAUAGCUGCUUCAGAAGCAGCAAAUGAAGGAGUCUGGAUGAAGGAGUUCAUAUCCGAUCUAGGUGUCAUACCUAGUGCAUCGGGUCCAAUGAAAAUCUUUUGUGACAAUACUGGUGCAAUUGCCUUGGCAAAGGAAUCCAGAUUUCACAAGAGGACCAAGCACAUCAAGAGACGCUUCAAUUCCAUCCGGGACCAAGUCCAGGUGGGAGACAUAGAGAUUUGCAAGAUACAUACGGAUCUGAAUGUUGCAGACCCGUUGACUAAGCCUCUUCCACGAGCAAAACAUGAUCAGCACCAAGGCUCCAUGGGUGUUAGAAUCAUUACUGUGUAAUCUAGAUUAUUGACUCUAGUGCAAGUGGGAGACUGAAGCAAAUAUGCCCUAGAGGCAAUAAUAAAGUUAUUAUUUAUUUCCUCAUAUCAUGAUAAAUGUGUAUUAUUCAUGCUAGAAUUGUAUUAACCGGAAACAUAAUACAUGUGUGAAUACAUAGACAAACAUAGUGUCACUAGUAUACCUCUACUUGACUAGCUCGUUAAUCAAAGAUGGUUAAGUUUCCUAGCCAUGGACAUGAGUUGUCAUUUGAUUAACGGGAUCACAUUAUUAGGAGAAUAAUGUGAUUGAGUUGACCGUUUAGUAUGUUGCUAUUGCUUUCUUCAUGACUUAUAUAUGUUCCUAUGACUAUGAGAUUAUGCAACUCCCGUUUACCGGAGGAACACUUUGUGUGCUACCAAACGUCACAACGUAACUGGGAGAUUAUAAAGGUGCUCUACAGGUGUCUCUGGAGGUACUUGUUGGGUUGGCGUAUUUCGAGAUUAGGAUUUGUCACUCCGAUUGUCGGAGAGGUAUCUCUGGUCCCUCUUGGUAAUGCACAUCACUAUAAGCCUUGCAAGCAUUGUGACUAAUGAGUUAGUUGCGAGAUGAUGUAUUACGGAACGAGUAAAGAGACUUGCCGGUAACGAGAUUGAACUAGGUAUUGAGAUACCGACGAUCGAAUCUCAGGCAAGUAACAUACCGGUGACAAAGGGAACAACGUAUGUUGUUAUGCGGUUUGACCGACAAAGAUCUUCGUAGAAUAUGUAGGAGCCAAUAUGAGCAUCCAGGUUCCGCUAUUGGUUAUUGACCGGAGACGUGUCUCGGUCAUGUCUACAUAGUUCUCGAACCCGUAGGGUCUGCACGCUUAAAGUUAGAUGACGAUUGGUAUUAUGAGUUUUGUGUUUUGAUGUACCGGAGGUAGUUUGGAGUCCCGGAUAUGAUCACGGACAUGACGAGGAGUCUCGAAAUGGUCGAGACAUAAAGAUCGAUAUAUUGGAUGACUAUGUUCGGACACCGGAAUGGUUUCGGGGAGUAUCGAAUAUAUACCGGAGUACCGGGGGAUUACCGGUACCCCCCGGGGAGACUAAUGGGCCUAUUGGGCCCUAGGAGAAGAGGAGGGGCGGCCAAGUGUAGCCGUGCGCCCCCUUCCUCCCCAGUCCGAAUUGGACAAGGAGGGGGGCGGCGCCCCCCUUUCCUUUCCCCCUCUCCUCUCCUAGUCCCACUUGGAAGGGGGGGUCCUACUCCCGAUGGGAGUAGGACUCCUCAUGGGGCGCGCCUAGGGAGGCCGGCCCCCUCCCCCUCCUCCACUCCUUUAUAUACACGGAGGGGGCACCCCUUGGAGACACAGCAAUUGAUCUCUUGAUCUCUUAGCCGUGUGUGGUGCCCCCUCCACCAUAUUCCACCUCGAUCAUAUCAUAGCGGUAGCAUCAUCAUCACCGUCACCACGCCGUCGUGCUGACGGAACACUUCCUCAAAGCUCGGCUGGAUCGGAGUUCGAGGGACAUCAUCGAGCUGAACGUGUGCUGAACUCGGAGGUGCCGUAUGUUCGGUACUCUGAUCGGUCGGAUCAUGAAGACGUACGAAUACAUCAACCGCGUUGUGCUAACGCUUCCGCUUUCGAUCUACGAGGGUACGUGGACACACUCUCCCCUCUCGUUGCUAUGCAUCACCAUGAUCCUGUGUGUGCGUAGGAAAUUUUUUGAAAUUACUACGUUCCCCAACAGUGGCAUCCGAGCCUGGUUUUAUGCGUAGAUGUUAUAUGCACGAGUAGAACACAAGUGAGUUGUGGGCGAUACAAGUCGUACUGCUUACCAGGAUGUCAUACUUUGGUUUGGCGGUAUUGUAGGAUGAAGCGGCCCGGACCGACAUUAUGCGUACGCUUACACGAGACUGGUUCUACCGACGUGCUUUGCACACAGGUGGCUGGCGGGUGUCAAUUUCUCCAACUUUAGUUGAACCGAGAGUGGCUACGUCCGGUCCAUGAGAAGGUUAAAACAGCACUAACUUGAUGAACUAUCGUUGUGGUUUCUAUGCGUAGGUAAGAACGGUUCUUGCUCAGCCCGUAGCAACCACGUAAAACUUGCAACAACAAAGUAGAGGGCGUCUAACUUGUUUUUGCAGGGCAUGUUGUGAUGUGAUAUGGUCAAGGCAUGAUGCUAUAUUUUAUUGUAUGAGAUGAUCAUGUUUCGUAACCGAGUUAUCGGCAACUGGCAGGAGCCAUAUGGUUGUCGCUUUAUUGUAUGCAAUGCAAUCGCCCUGUAAUGCUUUACUUUAUCACUAAGCGGUAGCGAUAGUCGUAGAAGCAAUAGUUGGCGAGACGACAACGAUGCUACGAUGGAGAUCAAGGUGUCGCGCCGGUGACGAUGGUGAUCAUAACGGUGCUUCGGAGAUGGAGAUCACAAGCACAAGAUGAUGAUGGCCAUAUCAUAUCACUUAUAUUGAUUGCAUGUGAUGUUUAUCCUUUAUGCAUCUUAUUUUGCUUUGAUUGACGGUAGCAUUAUAAGAUGAUCUCUCACUAAAUUUCAAGAUAAAAGUGUUCCCCCUGAGUAUGCACCGUUGCCAAAGUUCGUCGUGCCGAGACACCACGUGAUGAUCGGGUGUGAUAAGCUCUACGUUCAUCUACAACGGGUGCAAGCCAGUUUUGCACACGCGGAAUACUCAGGUUAAACUUUACGAGCCUAGCAUAUGCAGAUAUGGCCUGGAACACUUAGACCAAAAGGUCGAGCGUGAAUCAUAUAGUAGAUAUGAUCAACAUAGUGAUGUUCACCAUUGAAAACCACUCCAUCUCACGUGAUGAUCGGACAUGGUUUAGUUGAUUUGGAUCACGUGAUCACUUAGCUGAUUAGAGGGAUGUCUAUCUAAGUGGGAGUUCUUAAAUAAUAUGAUUAAUUGAACUUAAAUUUAUCAUGAACUUAGUACCUGAUAGUAUUUUGCUUGUCUAUGUUGUUGUAGAUAGAUGGCCCGUGCUGUUGUUCCGUUGAAUUUUAAUGCGUUCCUUGAGAAAGCAAAGUUGAAAGAUGAUGGUCGCAAUUACACGGACUGGGUCCGUAACUUGAGGACUAUCCUCAUUGCUGCACAGAAGAAUUACGUCCUGGAAGCACAGCUGGGUGCCAGGCCUGCUGCAGAUGCAACUGAUGACGUUAAGAACGUCUGGCAGAGCAAAGAUGAUGACUACUCAAUAGUUCAGUGUGCCAUGCUUUACGGCUUAGAACCGGGACUUCAACGACGUUUUGAACGUCAUGGAGCAUAUGAGAUGUUCCAGGAGUUGAAGUUAAUAUUUCAAGCAAAUGCCCGGAUUGAGAGAUAUGAAGUCUCCAAUAAGUUCUACAGCUGCAAGAUGGAGGAGAAUAGUUCUGUCAGUGAACAUAUACUCAAAAUGUCUGGGUAUAACAAUCACUUGAUUCAACUGGGAGUUAAUCUUCCGGAUGAUAGUGUCAUUGACAGAAUUCUUCAAUCAGUGCCACCAAGCUACAAGAGCUUCGUGAUGAACUAUAAUAUGCAAGGGAUGGAUAAGACAAUUCCCAGGCUCUUCGCAAUGCUAAAGGUUCAGGAGAUAGAAAUCAAAAAGGAGCAUCAAGUGUUGAUGGUCAACAAGACCACUAGUUUCAAGAAAAAGGGCAAAGGGAAGAAGAAGGGGAACUUCAAGAAGAACAGCAAACAAGUUGCUGGUCAAGAGAAGAAACCCAAGUCUGGACCUAAGCCUGAGACUGAGUGCUUCUACUGCAAGCAUACUGGACACUGGAAGCGGAACUGCCCCAAGUAUUUGGCGGAUAAGAAGGAUGGCAAGGUGAACAAAGGUAUAUGUGAUAUACAUGUUAUUGAUGUGUACCUUACUAGAGCUCGCAGUAGCACCUGGGUAUUUGAUACUGGUUCUGUUGCUAAUAUUUGCAACUCGAAACAGGGACUACAGAUUAAGUGAAGACUGGCUAAGGACGAGGUGACGAUGCGCAUGGGAAAUGGUUCCAAAGUCGAUGUGAUCGCCGUCGGCACGCUACCUCUACAUCUACCUUCGGGAUUAGUUUUAGACCUGAAUAAUUGUUAUUUGGUGCCAGCGUUGAGCAUGAACAUUAUAUCUGGAUCUUGUUUGAUGUGAGACGGUUAUUCAUUUAAAUCUGAGAAUAAUGGUUGUUCUAUGAGUAAUAUCUUUUAUGGUCAUGCACCCUUGAAGAGUGGUCUAUUUUUGUUGAAUCUCGAUAGUAGUGAUACACAUAUUCAUAAUGUUGAAACCAAAAGAUGCAGAGUUGAUAAUGAUAGUGCAACUUAUUUGUGGCACUGCCGUUUGGGUCAUAUUGCUGUAAAGCGCAUGAAGAAACUCCAUACUGAUGGACUUUUGGAAUCACUUGAUUAUGAAUCACUUGGUACUUGCGAACCAUGCCUCAUGGGCAAGAUGACUAAAACGCCGUUCUCCGGAACUAUGGAGCGAGCAACUGAUUUUUUGGAGAUCAUACAUACUGAUGUAUGUGGUCCAAUGAAUGUUGAGGCUCGCGGCGGGUAUCGUUAUUUUCUCACCUUCACAGAUGAUUUGAGCAGAUAUGGGUAUAUCUACUUAAUGAAACAUAAGUCUAAAACAUUUGAAAAGUUCAAAGAAUUUCAGAGUGAAGUGGAAAAUCAUCGUAACAAGAAAAUAAAGUUUCUACGAUCUGAUCGUGGAGGAGAAUAUUUGAGUUACGAGUUUGGUCUACAUUUAAAACAAUGCGGAAUAGUUUCACAACUCACGCGACCCGGAACACCACAGCGUAAUGGUGUGUCCGAACGUCGUAAUCGUACUUUACUAGAUAUGGUGCGAUCUAUGAUGUCUCUUACUGAUUUACCGCUAUCGUUUUGGGGUUAUGCUUUAGAGACGGCUGAAUUCACGUUAAAUAGGGCACCAUCGAAAUCCGUUGAGACGACGCCUUAUGAACUGUGGUUUGGCAAGAAACCAAAGUUGUCGUUUCUUAAAGUUUGGGGCUGCGAUGUGAAAAAGCUUCAACCUGAUAAGCUCGAACCCAAAUCAGAGAAAUGUGUCUUCAUAGGAUACCCAAAGGAAACUGUUGGGUACACCUUCUAUCACAGAUCCGAAGGCAAGACAUUCGUUGCCAAGAAUGGAUCCUUUCUAGAGAAGGAGUUUCUCUCGAAAGAAGUGAGUGGGAGGAAAGUAGAACUUGAUGAGGUAACUGUACCUGCUCCCUUAUUGGAAAGUAGUUCAUCACAGAAACCAGUUCAUGUGACACCUACACCAAUUAGUGAGGAAGCUAAUGAUAUCGAUCAUGAAACUUCAGAUCAAGUUACUACUGAACUUCGUAGGUCAACCAGAGUAAGAUCCGCACCAGAGUGGUACGGUAAUCCUAUUCUGGAGGUCAUGUUACUUGACCAAGGUGAACCUACGAACUAUGAAGAAGCGUUGGUGAGCCCAGAUUCCGCAAAAUGGCUUGAGGCCAUGAAAUCUGAGAUGGGAUCCAUGUAUGAGAACAAAGUGUGGACUUUGGUUGACUUGCCCGAUGAUCGGCAAGCCAUUGAGAAUAAAUGGAUCUUCAAGAAGAAGACUGACGCUGACGGUAAUGUUACUGUCUAUAAAGCUCGACUUGUUGCAAAAGGUUUUCGACAAGUUCAAGGGAUUGACUAUGAUGAGACUUUCUCACCCGCAGCGAUGCUUAAGUCUGUCCGAAUCAUGUUAGCAAUUGCUGCAUUUUAUGAUUAUGACAUUUGGCAAAUGGAUGUCAAAACUGCAUUCCUGAAUGGAUUUCUGGAAGAAGAGUUGUAUAUGAUGCAACCAGAAGGUUUUGUCGAUCUAAAGGGAGCUAACAAAGUGUGCAAGCUCCAGCGAUCCAUUUAUGGACUGGUGCAAGCCUCUCGGAGUUGGAAUAAAUGUUUUGAUAGGGUGAUCAAAGCAUAUGGUUUUAUACAGACUUUUGGAGAAGCCUGUAUUUACAAGAAAGUGAGUGGGAGCUCUGUAGCAUUUCUGAUAUUAUAUGUGGAUGACAUAUUACUGAUUGGAAAUGAUAUAGAAUUUAUGGACAGCAUAAAAGGAGAUUUGAAGAAAAGUUUUUCAAUGAAAGACCUCGGUGAAGAUGCUUACAUAUUAGGCAUCAAGAUCUAUAGAGAUAGAUCAAGACACUUGAUAGGACUUUCACAAAGCACAUACCUUGACAAAGUUUUGAAAAAGUUCAAAAUGGAUCAAGCAAAGAAAGGGUUCUUGCCUGUGUUAGAAGGUGUGAAGUUGAGUCAGACUCAAUGCCCGACCACUGCAGAAGAUAGAGAGAAAAUGAAACAUGUUCCCUAUGCUUCAGCCAUAGGCUCUAUCAUGUAUGCAAUGUUGUGUACCAGACCUAAUGUGUGUCUUGCUAUUAGCCUAGGAGGGAGGUACCAAAGUAAUCCAGGAGUGGAUCACUGGACAGCGGUCAAGAACAUCCUGAAAUACCUGAAAGGACUAAGGAUAUGUUUCUGGUUUAUGGAGGUGACGAAGAGCUAGUCGUAAAUGGUUACGUCGAUGCAAGCUUUGACACUGAUCCGGACGAUUCUAAAUCGCAAACCGGAUACGUGUUUACAUUGAACGAUGGAGCUGUCAGUUGGUGCAGUUCUAAACAAAGCGUUGUGGCGGGAUCUACGUGUGAAGCGGAGUACAUAGCUGCUUUAGAAGCAGCAAAUGAAGGAGUCUGGAUGAAGGAGUUCAUAUCCGAUCUAGGUGUCAUACCUAGUGCAUCGGGUCCAAUGAAAAUCUUUUGUGACAAUACUGGUGCAAUUGCCUUGGCAAAGGAAUCCAGAUUUCACAAGAGGACCAAGCACAUCAAGAGACGCUUCAAUUCCAUCUGGGACCAAGUCCAGGUGGGAGACAUAGAGAUUUGCAAGAUACAUACGGAUCUGAAUGUUGCAGACCCGUUGACUAAGCCUCUUCCACGAGCAAAACAUGAUCAGCACCAAGGCUCCAUGGGUGUUACAAUCAUUAUUGUGUAAUCUAGAUUAUUGACUCUAGUCCAAGUGGGAGACUGAAGGAAAUAUGCCCUAGAGGCAAUAAUAAAGUUAUUAUUUAUUUCCUCAUAUCAUGAUAAAUGUUUAUUAUUCAUGCUAGAAUUGUAUUAACCGGAAACAUAAUACAUGUGUGAAUACAUAGACAAACAUAGUGUCACUAGUAUACCUCUACUUGACUAGCUCGUUAAUCGAAGAUGGUUAAGUUUCCUAGCCAUGGACAUGAGUUGUCAUUUGAUUAACGGGAUCACAUUAUUAGGAGAAUAAUGUGAUUGACUUGACCCAUUCCGUUAGCUUAGCACUUGAUCUUUUAGUAUGUUGCUAUUGCUUUCUUCAUGACUUGUACAUGUUCCUAUGACUAUGAGAUUAUGCAACUCCCGUUUAUCGGAGGAACACUUUGUGUGCUACCAAACGUCACAACGUAACUGGGUGAUUAUAAAGGUGCUCUACAGGUGUCUCCGAAGGUACUUGUUGGGUUGGCGUAUUUCGAGAUUAGGAUUUGUCACUCCGAUUGUCGGAGAGGUAUCUCGGGGCCUCUCGGUAAUGCACAUCACUAUAAGCCUUGCAAGCAUUGUGACUAAUGAGUUAGUUGCGAGAUGAUGUAUUACGAAACGAGUACAGAGACUUGCCGGUUAUGAGAUUGAACUAGGUAUUGAGAUACCGACGACCGAAUCUCGGGCAAGUAACAUACCGGUGACAAAGGGAACAACAUAUGUUGUUAUGCGGUUUGACCGAUAAAGAUCUUCGUAGAAUAUGUAGGAGCCAAUAUGAGCAUCCAGGUUCCGCUAUUGGUUAUUGACCGAAGACGUGUCUCGGUCAUGUCUACAUACUUCUCGAACCCGUAGGGUCCGCACGCUUAAACUUAGAUGACGAUCGGUAUUAUGAGUUUUGUGUUUUGAUGUACCGAAGGUAGGUCGGAGUCCCGGAUAUGAUCACGGACAUGACGAGGAGUCUCGAAAUGGUCGAGACAUAAAGAUCGAUAUAUUGGACGACUAUGUUCGGACACCAGAAUGGUUUCGGGGAGUAUCGAAUAUAUACCGGAGUACCGGGGGAUUACCGGAACCCCCCGGGGAGACUAAUGGGCCUAUUGGGCCCUAGUGGAGAAGAGGAGGGGCGGCCAAGGGCAGCCGCGCGCCCCCUUCCCCCCAGUCCGAAUUGGACAAGGAGGGGGGCGGCGCCCCCCUUUCCUUUCCCCCUCUCUCUCCUUCCCUCUCCUCUCCUACUCCCACUUGGAAGGGGGGGUCCUACUCCCGGUGGGAGUAGGACUCCUCAUGGGGCGCGCCUAGGGAGGCCGGCCCCCUCCCCCUCCUCCACUCCUUUAUAUACGGGGGAGGGGGCACCCCAUGGACACCCCUUGGAGACACAGCAAUUGAUCUCUUGAUCUCUUAGCCGUGUGCGGUGCCCCCCUCCACCAUAUUCCACCUCGAUCAUAUCGUAGCGGUGCUUAGGCGAAGCCCUGCGUCGGUAGCAUCAUCAUCACCGUCACCACGCCGUCGUGCUGACGGAACUCUCCCUCAAAGCUCGGCUGGAUCGGAGUUCGAGGGACGUCAUCGAGCUGAACGUGUGCUGAACUCGGAGGUGCCGUACGUUCGGUACUCGGAUCGGUCGGAUCUUGAAGAUGUACGACUACAUCAACCGCGUUGUGCUAAUGCUUCCGCUUUCGGUCUACGAGGGUACGUGGACACACUAUCCCCUCUCGUUGCUAUGCAUCACCAUGAUCCUGUGUGUGCCUAGGAAUUUUUUUGAAAUUACUACGUUCCCCAACAUCUUUACCUAUUGUCUAGGGUUUCAACAGUUCCAGCGUCAACUUUAAUGAUUAGCAGGAUCUAGUGGAACCUGCCACACGUUUAUAUAAGCCGGCAUGCAUAACACAUGAUGUUAAGAGACAGAUGCAUUUAUGACGGGGAAAACUCAGUUUUGCAAAGAGUCCAUGAUGUUAUGAGACAAAUGCAUUUAUGGAACACUCUCUUCCCCUUGAGUUUAAAUGGCUAACACUCAUGUUUCUCCAAGUUUACCUCAAGGUGUACUGUGUGAUGGAAUGAGUAUGCAUGCAACACAACUACCAAACUUAUGUGUCCAUUUUUUGUGAGUGGUGCAAAUUUGCAUUCGUUUCUAAAAAUUGGUUGGCUACUUGCAAGACUAAGAGGCUGUCUAUCAGUUUCCGGCUAAAUUGUUUUACUAUGGCUUGUAGAUUUUAGUUGUUCCAAUACAUUUGUUAUUUCUAAAAAAAAUUCCCACUUGAUAUCUGCAGAGUAGAGAUGUGGAGCUUGGAAGCAUUAUAUUGGAUUUGGAUCUCACUGAUAAUGCACCAGAUAUGUGGUUGUUUUAUUGUGAAGUGAGGCAUGUGAUGUCUUUGAUGCCAUUUUUGUUUACCUCAAUCUUGCCAGUCGUGCUUGAAUAGAGUCAAGGUUGAGAUCCAAACAAAAUUAUGCAUUAUAUGAUCUCUUACUUUAUAGGGAAAUGCAUUAGUACAUUGCUGUUGUGCAUAUGUGACUGCAAUUUGUAUUUCUGUCAUAUCUAUCAUUCCUGUACCCAUGUUUGAAACCAAUUUAAAUGGUCCUUUGGAGGGUUUUUCAAUUUAAUCAUGUGACACCCAUGUGCUGGUAUAUUUCAGUCCCUUGUGAAAUGCAUGUUUAUGUGUGUGAAAGCUUUUAGAAUAUCAUAAAUAUGUUCAGUUUUAGUGUCCAGCUCACUGCCGAUUCUCUUACUGCUUUUGUCGUGACCAUGCAAAUCAAUCAUCCUGUGAAUUGACUAUGCCUUGCUUACCUUGCUUUGGGUUUAUUUUGCUGUUUGUGACAUGUAGUAAGCUCAUCUAUCAUGGAUGGCUACUUUGAUUUUUUAGAUGUAGACAGUUCCUCAAACCUUCCUACUAAUUUGAGCAUUACCUACUUAAUUAUAACGUUGGGACUGAGCAUUACCUACUUAAUUAUAACGUUGGGAUCGUCACCUUCGCGCCAAGGCGAUCUAGUAAGCAUGUGAUUAGAGUCAUACAAAUAACAUAGGUAGUAUGUCUGGACAAUUGCAAUCAAAAGUAUCCCACGUUAAACCUAUUGCAAUAUUUGUUUCUUUCUUUUUGCAAAACUCUAUUGCUAUGAUGAUAUAGACAUUUAAGAGUCCGAACAGAUGGCAGCCCCUUAUUUGAAAGGGCUCCAUUGGAUCGGUCAUCGGCAUAAUUCGUGUAGCAUAUGGCAUCUCACAUCAAAUUUACUGUGAUUUAUUUGGCAGAUGGCAACAGGCAACUACCAGGGCGAGCCAGACACUCUCUAGUGGACAGGACAUGAUACCAACAAUAAUUGCUAAAGCUGGAAUGAGAAAAGUGGAAUCAAAAUAAAGCAGCGAAUCAUAUCAACUUCAUGAGAAGCGACAUAGCAAUUGACCUUGAGUACAUUUCUUUUUGUUUUGGAGGGACCUUCAACACAUUUUUUACAAGAAAAGAGGAGUCUCUGAUCCCAGACAAGAUCAAAGUCUCUGCACCUCAAAGAUCUCACCAAAAGCUGGAGGAUAAUACCAUUUUUUUUUAAACAAAUUCAAAACAAAUGCAAAACCAUUUUUAAAAGGACUUUUUUACAUGUUCGUACAGCUCCUGUCGAUUUUCAUGCAAAAAAGGAACAAUUAUGCUUCCUCAGGUAAAAAAGACAGUUUAAGCGCCAGAAAAUAAGCACAGAACUUGUUUCUGUACUGGUCGAAAUGCUUGGGUUUUCGCCGUAGAGACUUGCAAAUGACAUGUACAUGUCUGAAUUUUUCAUAUUUUUUCACAUUUAUAAAAGCAUUUUUGGCACGCAGGAGCAUAUGCUACCUUGAGCCGAAUUGAAUAUCCGCCACAACUAUAUAGAUAGAUCUCCGUUACAGCAAUUGAUGGGAUAAACCAAUUCUAUUAUACAGUAUUUCACAAACAUGUCACACAGCAUGUAUAUGCAUGCAUAAUAACAAGCACUGGUCUGUUCAUGCAUCCAUCACACAUAAUCUACGCCAAUAAAUCCAUCAUUACAAGUUCAUUAAUAUAUAUAACUGCUCAAACAAAACAGAAACACCACUCACAUCGGCGCCAUCCUUUUUAUUCCAGAAACAUUCAGUACUUGCUUAGCAUAUGCAUCGUUCCUGCCAUCAGUACAAGACACAAAUCAAUCCCCAAUUGUAUCAUGUAGCAUGCAUCUACUUUAUGUUUUUGCGGGUAUGUCUAUUUGCAUGAGAAGAAACAAAUGGCAAUUGAUUAAUCAAACUGUUCUAGUGAAACUGAACUGGAGCAACGGCAAGCGCAGGAGAUAGAAUAGAAGAACUUACACCAGGCAACGAUCUUCCAGCGCUGGUUGUCGCCCUCAGUCCACUCCCACAGAAUGAGGGUGGUUCCAUCACGCACACCGCCAUGGUCCUUGUCGCCAUGGAGCGCGUCAAAGUUCAAGUAGAUGUUGUUCACCAUCCUGAUGCAGCGGUAGCCUGCCCCGACGUCCCUGCUCUCGGUCCAAAGGACCGAUUCGUCCAGGGUGUCUGGAUUGUACCUGGUCAGACGAACCUAGGAUCCAAAAAACAAACCAGAAGGUAAGCAAAUUCACAAUACUGGAGCUGCACUUCAGGGUUGAGCAUGAUGAGCUCAUGACCAUGUGACACCUCAUAGCAAUUACCAAAUUAUUCUGGAACCAGUGUUGGUCCUUUUGUCUAACGAGUUCACCAUAUUAUUUUAGAGCUAGUGCUCCUCUCCACUACAGUGCUCAUGGACAACCGUAGAAGUGCUGUGAAAUAUAUGCACAUGGAUGCUAAUGUGGAAGGGGCCAUAACAGAUCACAGUCACAGCUGGUACACUUGACAUUUUUUUUCUUACAAAAUUUGCUGAGCAAGACAGUGAACAUGUACGUGCGUAGAAGUAUUUUUAUAGCUAUGAUCUUGAUGGUAAUAUGGAACACUGUUGCAGAUUUAAGUUUUUGACACUGACAAAAUUAAAAACGUUUGCUGAAUACGACACCUAGUAGACAAAUAUAAUUCCCAAGAACAGGGAGAAUUUCGCUCAUGCUGGACUAGUUUAUAUCAUUUUAGCCAAAAAAACACUAAAUCCUAGUGGUGAUUAUUCACUGAAACACCACAGGUCACACUGCCAAUAAGCUCAAAGUGCUUCUGUUCAUUCAAGCUUUGCCCAUUCUGUUUGCAGAAUCGCUGCUAGUAUGAUUGCAGAGAAAGUAGGCAUUUGGAAUGUGUGGCAUGUGGUGUGCUUGCAGAUACUCUGUUAUGCCUAAAUUUGCCAAAAUCAUGUAAGAUCUGCCGUGCACGCACGCAUCGGAUAGCAAAAAUUAGAAGUUGGAUGGAUGAGCUGAAGCAGGGAGGCUAGUUACAGGGUGGGAUUGGCCAAGGGAGUGCUUGAGCGCCUCUCCGCUGGCCUUGUUGACGAGUGCCAUGGCAGGGUAGCCUUCCUCAUCCUUCACCCUCGUGCUGUACUUCAUGUCCUUGAUCCAGUGCUGCAUCAUAUGUGUAUAUUCAAAUCCAUCAACCACAUGAUCAGAGAAGAAAUAAUAACACAUAAAAAUUUGCUUGAGCAAAAGCCAAACAGGAUUGCUGCUUUUCCCCAAUUAGAAAAGGACAAGGCAGAAACACCAAGUUCUCAGAUCCCGAUGGCAAGUUCACUAUACUAUUCUGGAUCGGGAUCAUGGAAGCAUGUGUGGCCGAUCUUCGAUCGAUCUUGCAGAGGUGUUAUGUGUGUGUACCUGCGUGUCGUCGUCGCGGUCGGUGCGGACGAGGCAGACCUUGCCGUCCCUGGCGGCGAGGCUGAAGCUGUCCUCGCCGGCCUUGCAGAGGAUCCUGUACGUCGGCUGCCUGGUCGCCGGGGGCGCCAUCCCGCCGCCGCCGUGGUGCGGGCGCGUCUCGUGGCCGUAGCCCCCGUACUGCGGCCUCUCGUCGCCGGACUCGUGGGAGACGUGCACCACGUUGCCGUGGGCGGGUGCGCCGUAGCCUUCGUCGCGGCCGCCUCCGUAGGCCGGAGCAGGGGCGUGGCGCCCGUAGUCACCACCGCCGUAGCCCGCAGGCGCGGGCGAGUGGCGCCCGUAGUCGUCCUCGCGGCCUCCACCGUAGGCCGGGGCCGGGGCACCGUAUGCCGGGGCGCGGCCUCCGUACUCAUCCUCGCGGCCGCCCCCGUAGGCGGGAGGCGGGGCACCGUAGGCCGGGGGAGGAGCGCCGUAGGCGGCGGGAGGGUGGCGGCCGUAGGCGUCGCCAGCGUCGUCGUCGGGGCGGCGGCCGUAGGACGGGGGAGGGGCGCCGUACGCAUCAGGCUCGUGGCGGCCGUAGGGGGCGGGGGCGCGGCGGUCUUCGUCGUCGUCGUCGCGGCGGCCGUGGCCGUGGCCGUGGCGGUGCGGGAAGUCCAUGAUUGACUGGCCUGUCGGUGGUCGGGAAAUGGGAACGCGCGCGGGGUAGUGGAGGUGGAUCUGAUCCGGGCCAAGCUCAGCCUAUAUACGUCGCGUCGCCGGAGUACAUGUCGACGGGCGGGUGAGCGCGCGACGUGGCGCCAAUCGCACGCACUCACACGACCGACCGCUUCAAUUUCGCAACUGGGCGAUGGCGAUCGGUGGGCCGGCGAGGUGUCCACCACGUGCACAGCUCGACGCAUACAGACUUCACUCGUCGACUACACAUGUCGCGGAUCGGCUCGGCGUUGAAAAUCAUGAUCGUAUCUCCUCCAUCAGAUGCAGAUCAGAUCGUAUCGAACCAAAUCAGUCAAGUACCAGCUCAACAAAAAUCAACCAAACACUCAAUUAUUGCUUGAAUUUCAAGAAAGAGGAAGAGGCAGAAAAAGGUUUCAAUGUGAUGUGUACGCUAUGGCCCAUAAAACAUGGAUAGUGCGGUUGUUGCAGCUGUGAUUUGAUUUUCUUGUGUGACAUUGGUGUAACAGCGAUAAAGAUAUGUACGGUGGUUGAUGAUAUAGUGGCAUCAAGCCACAUGUGAACGACUAUCAGACACUUUCAAAAUGUUUGCUCUCGCGGCGCCAUCUGUACCUCUUUGCCUCCGCCUCCACCUAGCCUCGCAACUUGCCGCCCUUCCCUAAUCCUCGGCGACCCUGGCCUCAACUCUGCAUACCUGAGGGCAGCCCCGACGCUGCGUCAUCCUACUCUCUGCUCGGAUAUGGAGCUCGGAGUUGCCUUGGGACCUAGUUCAGCGAGAUAUGGGAGGGCAGUGUCAUCUUCUUCUACCUCUAUGGGUGGAUGUGGUGCACAGGGGGGUGGUGUCAGAUCAGGAGAUUCGUGAGCUUCUGGAGGUGCUAGAUCGGGCGGAGCGGGCUACAGAGUUGGAAAGGGUCAGUUUAGCGGUUCUGGCCAUGUCGAGAACCAACGAGUAAGAGAAGACUCGAUUGUUCCACACUAGUCAACCGUUGAUAGCGGAGAGGAUCCUCACAUCGGCGGCUAAUGAGUGUAUUUUUUACACUCAUUCAACCAUUAUUUAACCCGGAUAUUCAUGGAUAUUCCAAGAUAAUCACUCAGAUUUGUCACUAAUGACUAGUGAAUGCAAAAGAUUAUAGAUCCCUUUUUAUAAUUUGUUGUUGCAGCUUUUGGACCAUAAAGGGGAGGAAAUUGAGUAAUACAUGGAAAAACAAAAGAUAGGAGAUCUAAGUCAUAUCAAAGGGAGGCGCCACAGGCUAUCCAGAGCGAAAGACGGUGUCUGGUAUGAGCGUGCACGCUCGCACCAUGCACUGUUGGCAACGUUACGUCAUCCGCGACAACCUUCAUAAAAGGGGUGAGGGUCUAUUUAGGAUCACCAUCAUCCAUCCCUAGAAACCCUAAUCGCCGACAUCUCCAUCUCCAUAGCAAUUCUCCCCAUAGUUUGUCGUAGUUGUAAUUGAUACAUCGCAUAUGGCGACAUUGAAAGACUUUAUACAAUCAUUCAUCUAUCAUCAAUGUUAUCUACAAUGUUUUCCAUCUGUGAUUUGAUUGAGAUGUGUGGGCAAUCCCCUCAGGCAUAAGCCUUGCAACCCUCUAUACCUAUGCUCGGGACCGUUGGUAUGACUUUACUUAAGUUGACAUUAUUUGUAUGUGUGUUAUUUGCAACACAUUUUUCUCUUGUCUUGUUCUCGUUCUAAGACACUGCGGGUACCCAGAAUAUUUCAGACCAAUUCAAGAGGAGGUAAAGUGCAUGGAUACAUGGGAGGCUACACCAAACACCGAUGAUAGUAAUGAUUUGUAUAGUAGCCGAGAGCAACUCUCUAGGGACCAUGAGGUGCAAUCAUUAAAUGAAAAAUGCAUCAGUCUAGAAAAAUCCUUAAUAAUCUAGGUAACCCAGCACGGCGGUAAGGUCCUUGAUUGGACAAUAGACUUAUGAUGUAGGUUGUUGAUUGGUUGAGAUGUUAUUUGGGCGCAUCCCCCACGUCUAAUCAUUGAGAGCACAUCAUAACGGUGUCUAUCAGGACCAUGUUGGAAAUAAAGAUAAGAUCCUAAGUGCAAGUAUAAGGUUGUAAGUAAAGUCCUCAUGCCCAUGCAUAUUCCCUUCUAUUUGACCUCUCUCCCUCCCNNNNNNNNNNNNNNNNNNNNNNNNNNNNNNNNNNNNNNNNNNNNNNNNNNNNNNNNNNNNNNNNNNNNNNNNNNNNNNNNNNNNNNNNNNNNNNNNNNNNNNNNNNNNNNNNNNNNNNNNNNNNNNNNNNNNNNNNNNNNNNNNNNNNNNNNNNNNNNNNNNNNNNNNNNNNNNNNNNNNNNNNNNNNNNNNNNNNNNNNNNNNNNNNNNNNNNNNNNNNNNNNNNNNNNNNNNNNNNNNNNNNNNNNNNNNNNNNNNCAACCACUGCUUGUUCGGUCCAGGAAACUUAAAUUUCUUACAAGAACGAUAGCUUUGCUUGAAUCCAUGUCUAACCGUUGAACUUCCCAUGGUUUCGAUACCCACUGUCACCCCUGGGGAAAGAGGUGAGGACUAUCUACAUUCAAAACUGGAUCAAAGGUAAUCAACGGUGAAGGAUCCUAUCGUGACCUCCCGAGUCUAGCGAGCCCGAUGGAGGUUAUUCACGGUGGAGUUCGAUUAGAGGGCUCCGCGACCUCUCAUUCCUUGCCUUGUGGGAAUCUAUCAUCAUCCUUUUCGGUGGGAGACAAUCGUCCUUCUCUAGAUUGCUCGUCACGCCUGCAUCUCAUGUUGAUGGGUGGCAGAGGUUUCAUCUUCGAGCAAAUGCUUAUCAAACACGAGAAGGCCGACAGUCAGGCUGCGCAGGCUAAGCAAAGAAUGUCGCCCCGAGUCAAGCCGGUGCUUCCCCUCUAAAAGGGCAUUUCCCUACCUAAGUGAUUUUGAUGUAGAUGACAACGUAAUUUGCGGUAUAAUCGUGUGCUUGAGCUAUACAUGUAUAUUCGAAAAGUGGCACUUGAUGGUUAGGUUCCCCUCUAAAACAAUAAGACCAAAGGCGGCGUUCUUACGAUUUAUUUUCUAUUGAGUCGCAGGGAAACUGUAUUAUUGAUAGGGGUUCCGCGUUGAAAGGUAUGUCUGGAAUUAAACACAUACAAAAAUCAUACUACACCAACAUGAGCUUCCCAACUUUUGAGGAGUUUCCCAUCUAAUUUCUGCUGCUCUUGUUUUUCGCUACCGGUAGUACCGGGGUAGGCAGUGUUAGAUCCCCUCCCUCAAGGGAGCAAUGCUGCUGCUGCUUGUCAUCCAGGCCAGUAGUACCGCACUAUGACCGAUAGUAUGGCUCCCUUGUGGAGCGGCACUACUGGACAUAGUGUUGGACCUACUACCACGGAGGGGAGGGGUCUUUCCCUCUAUUUUUGCCGUGGUGCUAGAGCGGCACUGGCAGUACCGGAUAUUCUAUUUUAGCUGGUAGUACUAGUGCCUGUUGCGAAAGUACCGCUUGGGCACUGGCAGUGCAAUUCGUAUGGGACUGCAGUCAUACCGCUCAGUUGAAAUCUGGUGUAACAGUUGGACUGGGAGGACUAUAAGAAGAGGUCUUCUUCCCCAAGUUGAGUGACCUCUUGCCUGAAGGAAAUAUGCCUUAGAGGCAAUAAUAAAGUUAUUAUUUAUUUCCUCAUAUCAUGAUAAAUGUUUAGUAUUCAUGCUAGAAUUGUAUUAACCGGAAACAUAAUACAUGUGUGAAUACAUAGACAAACAUAGUGUCACUAGUAUGCCUCUACUUGACUAGCUCGUUAAUCGAAGAUGGUUAAGUUUUCUAGCCAUGGACAUGAGUUGUCAUUUGAUUAACGGGAUCACAUUAUUAGGAGAAUAAUGUGAUUGACUUGACCCAUUCCGUUAGCUUAGCACUUGAUCGUUUAGUAUGUUGCUAUUGUUUUCUUCAUGACUUAUAGAUGUUCCUAUGACUAUGAGAUUAUGCAACUCCCGUUUACCGGAGGAACACUUUGUGUGCUACCAAACGUCACAACGUAACUGGGUGAUUAUAAAGGUGCUCUAUAGGUGUCUCCGAAGGUACUUGUUGGGUUGGCGUAUUUCGAGAUUAUGAUUUGUCACUCCGAUUGUCGGAGAGGUAUCUCUGGGCCCUCUCGGUAAUGCACAUCACUAUAAGCCUUGCAAGCAUUGUGACUAAUGAGUUAGUUGCGAGAUGAUGUAUUAUGGAACGAGUAAAGAGACUUGCCGGUAACGAGAUUGAACUAGGUAUUGAGAUACCGACGAUCGAAUCUCAGGCAAGUAACAUACCGAUGACAAAGGGAACAACGUAUGUUGUUAUGCGGUUUGACCGAUAAAGAUCUUCGUAGAUUAUGUAGGAGCCAAUAUGAGCAUCCAGGUUCCGCUAUUGGUUAUUGACCGGAGACGUGUCUCGGACAUGUCUACAUAGUUCUCGAACCCGUAGGGUCCGCACACUUAAAGUUAGAUGACGAUCGGUAUUAUGAGUUUUGUGUUUUGAUGUACCGAAGGUAGUUCGGAGUCCCGGAUAUGAUCACGGACAUGACGAGGAGUCUCGAAAUGGUCGAGACAUAAAGAUCGAUAUAUUGGACGACUAUGUUCGGACACCGGAAUGGUUUCGGGAAGUUUCGGACACAUACCGGAGUACCGGGGGGGUUACCGGAACCCCCUGGGGAGACUAAUGGGCCUAUUCGGCCCUAGUGGAGAAUAGGAGGGGCGGCCAAGGGCAGCCGCGCGCCCCCUUCCCCCCAGUCUGAAUUGGACAAGGAGGGGGGCGGCGCCCCCCUUUCCUUUCCCCCUCUCUCUCCUUCCCUCUCCUCUCCUACUCCCACUUGAAAGGGGGGAGUCCUACUCCCGGUGGGAGUAGGACUCCUCAUGGGGCCGGGCCCCUCCCCCUCCUCCACUCCUUUAUAUACGGGGAGGGGGGCACCCCUUGGAGACACAACAAUUGAUCUCUUGAUCUCUUAGCCGUGUGCGGUGCCCCCCUCCACCAUAUUCCACCUCGAUAAUAUCGUAGCGGUGCUUAGGCGAAGCCCUACGUCGGUAGCAUCAUCAUCACCGUCACCACGCCGUCGUGCUGACGAAACUCUCCCUCAAAGCUCAGCUGGAUCGGAGUUCGAGGAACGUCAUCGAGCUGAACGUGUGCUGAACUCGGAGGUGCCGUACGUUCGGUACUCGGAUCGGUCGGAUCGUGAAGACGUACGACUACAUUAACCGUGUUGUGCUAACGCUUCCGCUUUCGGUCUACGAGGGUACGUGGACACACUCUCCCCUCUCGUUGCUAUGCAUCACCAUGAUCAUGUGUGUGCGUAGGAAAUUUUUUGAAAUUACUACGUUCCCCAACAUUGCCUUCUCUCCUCCAUUGUUUCCCAAAACUUUUAAAUCUCUUAGAUCUCUCUCCCUAGCAACUCAAACUUGUUUAUCUUAUAGGAUUUGAGAGAGAAAACCUAGAUUUAUCACUCCACCGAAGGAAAAAUUAUUCCCACUUGCUUUCCCUGGAACUUCUUACUCUUGGAUGUUUGGGCACCCUAGAAAGAAGUGGUCACCUCAAAGCUCCAAUCACUGUGGUGAGGCUUUGUGGUGGUGUUGGGAGCCUCCAAUCAAGGUUUUUGAGUCGCGACUUGGUGAGUCGCCGCGAGCCCUGCGGCUCGGCGUAUAGUCGACGAAAGUCGUUGUAUAGUCACCAUAUGUCGCUGUAUAGUCGCGAGUCGCCCUGAUUUUUGGAAAACGACUUGGCGAUUAGUCGGUGACUAUGCAGCGACUAAUCAGCGACUCAAAAACCAUGCCUCCAAUUAAGUUGUGGAAUUUACCCCAGCCUGGUUUGUGAAGGUCCGGUCGCCGCCACCAAGGGCACCGCGUAGCGGAUCGUAGCACCUUGCAUUGUGCAAGGGCACGAGGAGAACAAGAUGAGCCAUUGUGGAGCUUGGUGAGCAUAGUGCCUCCACACCUCUUCAAUGGAGACGUACCUCCCCAAAUGAGGGAACACCGGGAACAAUAUCAUUGUCUCCACUUGUGGUUUAUUCUUUCCUUCACUUAGUUUGUGCUAGUUAGUAUUAUUGUGCAUCUUAUCUAAGUUGUUAUUAUUUUGAGCCUGUCAUAUAGGUUGUCCAUCUAGUUGCAUAUCUAGAUAAGCUAUAUUCUUGUUGUAUCCUUUAAAAUUGGAAAAGAGAUUAAAAAUUGUUAAUCAUUUGUUCACCCCCUCCAGUCAACAAUAUCAAUCCUUUGACCCUCUCCUACCGACCCUAUCAUUGCCAAACAUGAAGGAGCGGUGAGGCUCUCUCAUCGUGCUCAUCUCUAUUGUUAGCGGGCGAGGAGAGGGGAUCUCAUAAGAAAAGCAGAGGAGCGCAAGGCGGGUUGCCGAAUCGGGUUUCUGAAUCCACUUUUGAUAUUUCAUCGACACCCUGUGGGGGUGCCUCCUUCUUUACCCAGAACUAGCGUAGGCUGACUCCACAUCUUCGAUCUCAAGGGAGGAGGAGACGCAAGCCGCUUUGAGCCAGCCUCCAACAUUGAUUGCCAUGGCUGAUGUCGAGUGUGGUCGGGGGCCCUUCCAAUUCAACUAUGGCUUCCCCCUCCAAUUACCAUGCAUGUAAGUAUAUUCCUUCUGAUAGCCAGCAACUACUAGGAUCUUAGAAAUCUAAGCAGGGGUAGUUGGAGAAGAAUCCUAGAUCUAAUAGUGAGGUCGAUUGCGCUCUAAAGCUCAAUUCAUAUGCUCCAUUUACCUUGUCUAACUGUAGUGAGCCUAGGCAGCAAAAUAGUGAUUGUUCCAAACGAAAGGCCCAUUUUAUUUGUAAUCAAGUGGAGAAUUGUCCAGACAGGAAACAACCUCACAUCACUUCUAGAUAUAUUGGCAGUGAUGUGACAUGACAUGGCUUCUAUAAGGUUGAGAUCCCUCAGGUGAAUGCCCAGUUACUUAGACAUCUCCAAAAUAUGGGUGUAGUGUACAUUGAGGUAUGCAUAAUAUCACAACAAGAACUGGCUAGUGAAUUUGGGAUCAUUUAUAAGUCUAACUGGCGAUGGAGGUUAGAGCCUUGGAUGAUGGAUCUUUUUAGUCAAAUUCCCUCUUGAGACUCAUUCCCAUAUGGCGUGAGUGGGCUAAGUUUGAUCAAAUUACUCUCUAUAUUUGGUCUCCCGCAGGAUGUAGUUCGAAAAGGCAUGUUUAGCUCUUUUCUAUGGUGUGAUCAGGGUUAAGGUGGCCUACAAAGACAACACUAAAAUUCCACCUAACACACUACUUUCAUGGCUCGGAAAUAUUAUCUCUAGCGGUUGGAAGUAGAAUCCCCAACUCAUGGGAUCAACUCAGUGUUGAACAAUAGCAGAGCCAAUAACUUAGGCGAUGGCAUUAUGGAUUCUGAUAGGGGAGUUGGGUAUGGUUCUCAUGGAAGGAAAAGCAAUAAGAAAAGCAAUAAAAUCUCUAUAGUACCUCUCAAACAAGUAUGCAACAAUGGGUGAAUAUUCUAGGCAGUGUAUGGAGGGUGUAUUUCCAAAUACAAGAUGAACAUUUUUCAGAAUAUAUAGUACUCCCUCAGAUUUAUUUAUUUUGUCACCCAAAUGGAUGUAUCUAGACAUACUUCAGUUCUAGAUACAUCCGUUUGAGUGACAAGUAAUAUGAAUCGUGGAGAGUAACAAAUUUUAAAUGCACGAUGAAUAUUUUCCAAAAUACAUGAUGACAUUUUUCUAAUACACGAUGAACAUAGUUAAUAAAUGGUGAAUAUUUUUAAAUACAAUAUGAACUUCUUUAAUACAUGUGGUACAUUUUUAGUACGCGUUGAACAUUUUUAAAUACACAAAGAACAGUUAUUGAAAUAUUGGAUGAUUUUUUUAAAUACAUGGUUGUUCUUUUAAACACAAUGAGCACUUCCGAAAUACAUUGUCGAUUUUUUAAAAAUAUACCCCAAACAUCUUUCAAAAUAUGUGACAAAAACUUUUUUCAACAUGGUGAAGAUUCUUAAAAUACACAAUGAACAUUAUGCUAAACCCGACAAAAAUAAUAAGAACCAUCACCGUAAAAAUGAUAAUAAGAAACUUUUAUAUCACAAAGGAAUAAUAAAUCUACUUAAAAUAAGUUAUGCAAAAGAAAUUAACAAAGAAAAGGAAAACAUAAAACAAUAUGAAAUGUAAAAUAUAUUUAAAAUAAAUUGUGUUUCUUUAUUCAAAGAAGGAAUGGUAAAAUAGUAAACCAGAAAGGAAGAAUAAAGAAAAAGUCAAAGCAAAAAAAAAAUAGUUCCAAAACCAGAAAAAAGGAGAAGAAGUGGGCCGACAUAGAUCGAAGUGUUGUAGGUGAGCAAAAGAUGUGAAUCACAAUAGGUGAGAUAUAGCAUCCGCGGCAACCUACGUGCAUCGGCUCGAGCUUUUGUACUCACUCAUGGCAUGGCCUAAAAUUUUGGCUCUUUCAUUAUGUUCAUUUUUUCUUUAUGGGGAGUUAUGUAUCACUUAGUGCGAGACGUAAGUCCGUCUCUUCUCUGGCGCUGGCUACGCGGUCGCUUUAGUAGGCCGGCUCAUUACGACGGUUUUGGGAAGGUUCUUUAUACUAGUUUUAGAACCUUCCAUGCAUUUUUUCUCAGUUUCUCCAUUGGUUUUUAUUACAUUUUCUUAGUUUCAUUUUUUCAAAUACAUGUCAAUGUUUAAAAAUACAGGUUGUACAUUUUCCAUAUACAUGCACAAUAUUUUUUUAUACACGUUGAUUUUUUUAAAUACAUGGUGCACUUUUGGUUUUCAAAUAAAUGUUAAGAAGUUUUAAAUGCACAUUGAACACUUUUUUGUAUGGUGCGAGAGAUUUUUUAAAUGUCAUGAACAUAUAUCUAUAAUGGAUGAACUUUUUUAGAUGUUGCGUUCAAUUUUUUUUUGCAUGGCAUAAAUCAUUGUUUUAAGCUUACUGAACAAUUUUUUGCAUUGUAGAAACAUUUUUCUCGAAAUGUGCAAAUAUUUUAUUAUAUGUCACUGACAUUUUUCUGAAUGUUUUGAAUCAUUUUUAGAAAAACUAUACGAACUUUGUGUAAUGCAGCAGUAUUUCUCGUGGAACAUAACACUGGGGCUGAGGUCUGCGAAUCAUUUAAUGAGCCAGCCCGUGACAGAUUGAGGUGCCCAAAUUAUCUGACGAAAUCACUAAUUGAGGAAUGCUUGUUGCAAAGAUCACUCCAAUUCCCCUGAUUGCGACAAAUGGCGCACAUGCAGCGCACCACUUGUCGCAACUUGGGAGUUUUCCCUUUUUUUCGUAGAUCCAUUUAUUCAAAACGUUUUAUCUUUCAAACUAUGCGUUCAAAUCUCGAACCGCUUUCACCGUUGGAUUCCUCGUCUUCAAAACUAGAUUUUUUAAAUGUCAUGAACAUAUAUCUAUAAUGGAUGAACUUUUUUUAGAUGUUGCGUUCAAUUUUUUUUAAUGGCAUAAAUCAUUGUUUUAAGCUUACUGAACAAUUUUUUGCAUUGUAGAAACAUUUUUCUCGAAAUGUGCAAAUAUUUUAUUAUAUGUCACUGACAUUUUUCUGAAUGUUUUGAAUCAUUUUUAGAAAAAUUAUACGAACUUUGUGUAAUGCAGCAGUAUUUCUCGUGGAACAUAACACUGGGGCUGAGGUCUGCGAAUCAUUUAAUGAGCCAGCCCGUGACAGAUUGAGGUGCCCAAAUUAUCUGACGAAAUCACUAAUUGAGGAAUACUUUUUGCAAAGAUCACUCCAAUUCCCCUGAUUGUGACAAGUAGGCAGCCCAUUUGCAUGCAGCGCACCACUUGUCGCAACUUUGGCAGUUUUCCUUUUUUUCGUAGAUCCGUUUAUUCAAAACGUUUUAUCUUUCAAACUAUGUGUUCAAAUCUCGAACCGCUUUCACCAUUGUAUUCCUCGCGUUGAGAUCUUCAAAAUUAGAUCCCAUGUUGAUAUGUUUUGACGAACUAUUUUUGACGAAAAAACCGAACCGGGCGCACGGGUUUUUUCCCUUUCGAAAGAGGCACGCCCGUGCCUCUCACGAAAUCACAACCGUGCCUCUCGCGGAAGCAAAACCGUGACUCUCGCGGAAGAAAAAAAAAACGCGUUUUUUCCGUUUCCGAGGAGGCACGGCCGUGACUCUCGUGAAAGCACAACAAUGCCUCUUGCGGAAGCAAAACCGUGACUCUCGCGAAAAGAAAAAAAAACAAAAAACGCGUUUUUCCCUUUCCGAGAGGCACGGCCGUGACUCUCGCGAAAGCACAACCGUGCCUCUCGCGGAAGCAAAACCGUGACUCUCGUGAAAAAAAACAGAAAACAUGUGUUUUUUUCCUUUCCGAGAGGCACGGCCGUGACUCUCGCGAAAGCACACCCGUGCCUCUCGCGGAAGCAAAACCGUGACUCUCGUGAAAGAGAAAAACAGAAAACGUGUUUUUUCCUUUCCAAGAGGCACGGUUGUGACUCUCGCGAAAGCAAAACCGUGCCUCUCGCGGAAGCAAAACCGUGACUCUCGCGAAAGGAAAAAAAUUAAAACACGUUUUUUCACGCAAAAUUUUUUUUUUCCAAUUUUUUUAAUUGAAAAGCUAAGGAAGACCGGUGAAAAACCAAAGCAUCGAAAAAAACUCGGAAAAAACCGUUUAAAAAGCCGAAAACGCGUGCGGAAAAUUAAAAAAAAAAUCAGAGGGAGCGCCAGAGCGCGACACGUGGCGAAUGGCUGAGAGCACGCUAAGUGACGCUGAUCGUUACGAGGCUCCCGAAAGAGCACUCGUUAACUAGUUGCUCUCACCAUCUGAGCCUUUUGGCACAACGGCCAUUCUGGGCCGCAUUGCAAGGGAUCUGGGCCGUUGCACUAAUUGCGGGUAGCUGCCCGUCCCCAUCUUCCCCCAAGGCUUCCUCUACAAGAUUCCCCCACCCCUUCUUGCUAAAUCCUAUUUGACGCCUUAUGCGCCCGCUAUAGUACAACUCGCAAUCGGGCGCAUACCCCCACCUCUCCGCUGGGCCGGCCCAUCUAGAUUUUUUCCUCUGUUUUUCAAAUCGCGAAAAAACAUAUGGUAGUGCUUUGAUUCGAACCCGAGACCUCCUGCUUAACAAUAAGCUGCAUAACCACCCAGCCACCCCCAACUGGACGUGCUACUUUAAUGUUUCUACGCCUUUUACUUUGUUCUUUUUUUCUUCUGCUUUCCUUUUUCUGGUUUUCUCUUUCGUUUUUUCUUUUUUGUUUUUCUUCUCCCUGGGUUUGAUGAACUUUUUCUGAAAUUCGUGAACUUCUUCUUAACAUCGAUCAACUUUUGUCAAAUGCGUUGAACUUUUUUCAAAUUUGAUGAACUUUUUUCCAAAUUGGAUGAACUAUUUUUCAAAUUUGAUUAACUUUUUUCAAAACCGAUGAUCUUUUUUCAAAUUAUAUGAACUUUUUCAAAAUUUGAUGAACUUUUUUAAAACUGAUGAACUUUUUUCAAAAUUAGGUGAACUUUUUCUAAAUUUCGCGAACUUUUUCCAAAUUUUGUUGAACUUUUUUUCCUAAAUUCAUGAACCUUAUAUCAAAAUCGGUUAACUUUUUUUUAAUUCGUGAACUUUUUUAAAGUUUGAUGAACUUUUUUAAAAAAAUUCGAAAAAAAAUCUCGAAAGUCAAUGGUCAAUGGCUCACCGGUCUACCAUGAAACGUUCGAGCGUUUUUUCGUUUUUUUUUCUUUUGAGUAAACGAAACAAACGAGCGGGAUAGGUGGGGAAGCAGGCGUCGUACGAGCUCGUCGGCUCGUUCAUGGGCCGGCCCACUUUGCCAGGCGCGUGGGCGCUGGUUUCCUCUUGCGGCGCAUAAGGCGCUAGCGAGGAGCACUCCCCCCUUCUUCCCCAUUUCCACUUCCACACACCACUUCCCAAAUCCAGAGCCACCCUACCCAGCGAUUCCACCGACGGCGAUGUCCACAUCCGGUUCGUCCUCCGUUUCUGCCGACCGGGACAGCCUCCCCCCGAUCCCCUGCACGGACUGCGGGGGCCACAUCACCACCAUUGCCUCCCGCGGCGGCUCUCGUCCCGGGACCCAGAUCUACAAGAAACUCCGCCGCAGCGUACGUGUUCUUGCCCAUUCCCCUCCAUUAUUAGUCGUCCUCCUGCAUUUCGCAGCGUCACAGCUUAGUCUGUUCCCCCGUUUCGCAGGCUGUUCUUGGCUGGUUCUUCCGCUGGUCAGACGGGUACGCGCUGGCCGAUGUUGCAAGGAUGACCCUCCUCCUCGGCGUGACCAAUCUGCUCGUCAACCUGCUUGUUCUGGCUCUCGUGCUGCGGCUGUUCGCAAAGCGGAAUGCAUCUAUGGCGUAAUCUAAUCUAGAUGCUGGUGGAUGGCCGGCCGUAGUAUCAGUAGUAGUAGGUCUUGUUGUCACGGCGCCCUCUUUAAAAUUAGCGUGGUAGUAGUCCCGCCGUGUUAAAUUAGUGUGGCUGUAGCCCGCUAUGGGCUUUGAUUAGUGCAGUCCCUCUCUGUGUCAAAUUAGUGCGGUCUCUUCAGUGUCAGCAAGCUGUAGCUUUUGGGUUGACGAUGGAGUGUUUGUGCUUGCGGCUGUGCCACCAUUUGUCUGGUCUGGUCUGGUCAGCACGCUUGCAAAUUAUGGUCCACUAUGUAAUCCAUUAGCACUUGUAUCUAAUUAAUGGAUGUUGUUUGCCAAGUUACAUUUGUCAGUAUUUUACUGUUUUCCAAAUAUCAAAUGAGCACGACUUGUCACUUCG
Molecule: long non-coding RNA, 41610 nt
Filed under: Triticum aestivum (bread wheat)
Lineage: Eukaryota; Viridiplantae; Streptophyta; Magnoliopsida; Poales; Poaceae
Description: long non-coding RNA (TAES_LNC028482)
Source: RNAcentral